CCUACGGGCGGCAGCAGUGAGGAAUAUUAGUCAAUGGACGAGAGUCUGAACCAGCCAAGUAGCGUGAAGGAUGACUGCCCUAUGGGUUGUAAACUUCUUUUAUCGGGGAACAAAAUGUUCCACGUGUGGGCUUUUGUAUGUACCAUAUGAAUAAGGAUCGGGUAACCCCGUGCCAGCAGCCGCGGUAAUACGGAGGAUCGUGGCGUUAACCGGAUUUAUUGGGUUUAAAGGGAUUGUAGGUGGGUUGUUAAGUCAGUUGUGAAAGUUUGCGGCUUAACCGGCAAAUUGCAGUUGAAACUGGGAGUCUUGAGUGCAGUAGAGGUAGGCGGAAUGCGUGGUGUAGCGGUGAAAUGCUUAGAUAUCACGAAGAACUCCGAUUGCGAAGGCAGUUCACUGGACUGCAACUGACGCUGAGGCUCGAAAGUGUGGGUAUCGAACAGGAUUAGAUACCCGAGUAGUC
Molecule: ribosomal RNA, 460 nt
Filed under: uncultured bacterium
Lineage: Bacteria
Description: partial 16S ribosomal RNA
Rfam family: Bacterial small subunit ribosomal RNA
Source: RNAcentral